UACGUAGGGUGCAAGCGUUAAUCGGAAUUACUGGGCGUAAAGCGUGCGCAGGCGGUUUUGUAAGUUUGUCGUGAAAGCCCCGGGCUCAACCUGGGAAUGGCGAUGAAGACUGCAAGGCUUGAAUCUGGCAGAGGGGGGUAGAAUUCCACGUGUAGCAGUGAAAUGCGUAGAGAUGAGGAGGAACACCGAUGGCGAAGGCAGCCCCCUGGGUCAAGAUUGACGCUCAUGCACGAAAGCGUGGGGAGCAAACAGG
This 253-nucleotide ribosomal RNA is filed under the name uncultured bacterium. Its description in RNAcentral is "partial 16S ribosomal RNA". It matches the Rfam family "Bacterial small subunit ribosomal RNA", at positions 524 to 776 of the family's 1533-position model. The record is from RNAcentral.